UGGGGAAUAUUGCACAAUGGAGGGAACUCUGAUGCAGCGACGCCGCGUGAACGAAGAAGGCUUUCGAGUCGUAAAGUUCUUUUAUAUGGGAAGAUAAUGACGGUACCAUAAGAAGAAGCCCCGGCUAACUACGUGCCAGCAGCCGAGGUAAUACGUAGGGGGCUAGCGUUGUCCGGAAUCACUGGGCGUAAAGGGUUCGCAGGCGGAAAUGCAAGUCAGGUGUAAAAGGCAGUAGCUUAACUACUGUAAGCAUUUGAAACUGCAUAUCUUGAGAAGAGUAGAGGUAAGUUGAAUUUUUAGUGUAGCGGUGAAAUGCGUAGAUAUUAAAAAGAAUACCGGUGGCGAAGGCGACUUACUGGGCUCAUUCUGACGCUGAGGAACGAAAGCGUGGGUAGCAAACAGG
This 403-nucleotide ribosomal RNA is filed under the name bacterium. Its description in RNAcentral is "partial 16S ribosomal RNA". It matches the Rfam family "Bacterial small subunit ribosomal RNA", at positions 355 to 776 of the family's 1533-position model. The record is from RNAcentral.